RNAcentral lists this ribosomal RNA (253 nucleotides) under uncultured bacterium. Its description in RNAcentral is "partial 16S ribosomal RNA". It matches the Rfam family "Bacterial small subunit ribosomal RNA", at positions 524 to 776 of the family's 1533-position model. The record is from RNAcentral.
UACGAGGGGGGCGAGCGUUGUUCGGAUUUAUUGGGCGUAAAGGGUGCGUAGGCGGCGGAGUAAGUUGGGUGUGAAAUCCCGGGGCUCAACCUCGGAAUUGCAUUCAAUACUGCUUCGCUCGAGUACUGGAGAGGAGGCUGGAAUUUACGGUGUAGCAGUGAAAUGCGUAGAUAUCGUAAGGAAGGCCGGUGGCGAAAGCGAGCCUCUGGACAGUUACUGACGCUGAUGCACGAAGGCCAGGGGAGCAAACGGG